This 442-nucleotide ribosomal RNA is filed under the name uncultured bacterium. RNAcentral describes it as "partial 16S ribosomal RNA". It matches the Rfam family "Bacterial small subunit ribosomal RNA", at positions 338 to 795 of the family's 1533-position model. The record is from RNAcentral.
CCUACGGGCGGCAGCAGUGGGGAAUAUUGGGCAAUGGGCGCAAGCCUGACCCAGCAACGCCGCGUGAAGGAAGAAGGCUUUCGGGUUGUAAACUUCUUUUAAGAGGGAAGAGAAGAAGACGGUACCUCUUGAAUAAGCCACGGCUAACUACGUGCCAGCAGCCGCGGUAAUACGUAGGUGGCAAGCGUUGUCCGGAUUUACUGGGGGUAAAGGGCGUGCAGCCGGGCUGACAAGUCAGAUGUGAAAUCCCGCGGCUCAACCGCGGAACUGCAUUUGAAACUGGCAGUCUUGAGUACCGGAGAGGUCAUCGGAAUUCCUUGGGGAGUGGUGAAAUGCGGAGAUAUAAGGAAGAACACCAGUGGCGAAGGCGGAUGACUGGACGGCAACUGACGGUGAGGCGCGAAAGCGUGGGGAGCAAACAGGAUUAGAUACCCGAGUAGUC